AAGAAAAACGCCAUCGGCAACUUACUUGGAGAAGGAUGCGCACUGGAACGUCGAGCAACCAAACCGACGACGUUGAUGCGUCACACGGCGGCAGCAGAAGAAGAAGAAGAAAAGAAGAAGAAGGGUUUGCCUUUACCGCACGGAGGCCGCGAUGACCCUGCGGACCGUGUUGUCGUCCGAACAAGCUCUCCUCGCUUCCUCAGAACCCGACGACCCAGAGGAUGUCGUCGUAGCGAACCAGAGGAGCUACUUGAAUCGCACGGGCAUCCCAUCAUGUGCACACACACACAAUGGAAAUGGAAUUUCGAAUAAACAGGCAGGCUUGUAGAUAUGCCAUUGGAGGUACUCUGCUGUUGAAGUGCAAUUUUUUUUCUUGCCUAACAAAAGAUUUAUCAAAGCAUUUGUGACUGAUGGAUAACUGCAGCCAAAAAGUCUCAAGCAGAUGGCGUGUCGAUCGCACAUCACAUACUUGACGAAGAGUCUCCUGCACAGUGCAGCAAAGAUGGCCAUUAAAAAUGUUGCUAAAAUGACGAGGCUCCACCAGUCUGCACGGUUAUGCAAAAAAAAAGACAUUUUCCAUUUGCUCUCAGGCUUGUUUUCUCUUUUGUUUCUUGGGAAAUAAGGAUGCACAUGACGAGCAUUA
Phyllopteryx taeniolatus (common seadragon) is the source of this 643-nucleotide long non-coding RNA. RefSeq lists it as uncharacterized. The transcript is spliced from 3 exons. Lineage: Eukaryota; Metazoa; Chordata; Actinopteri; Syngnathiformes; Syngnathidae. The record is from RefSeq and is a predicted model, not a curated record.